AUGAACGCUGGCGGCGUGCCUAAUACAUGCAAGUCGAGCGAACAGAUGAGGAGCUUGCUCCUCUGACGUUAGCGGCGGACGGGUGAGUAACACGUGGAUAACCUACCUAUAAGACUGGGAUAACUUCGGGAAACCGGAGCUAAUACCGGAUAAUAUAUUGAACCGCAUGGUUCAAUAGUGAAAGACGGUUUUGCUGUCACUUAUAGAUGGAUCCGCGCCGCAUUAGCUAGUUGGUAAGGUAACGGCUUACCAAGGCAACGAUGCGUAGCCGACCUGAGAGGGGGGCUCGCCCACCGGGGACUGGAGACCGGUCCCAGCCCCCGCGGGGCGCCAGAAGGGGGAAUUCUUCCGGAGUGGGGAAAGGCGUGAGGGACAACCGCGGGGUGGGUGAGGAGUGCGUACGAUUCGAAAAACGUUUUUAUGGGGAAAAAAAAAAUGGGAAAGUAACUUGGCCCGUCUGGCGGGACCUAAAAAAAAAGCCCCCGCUAACCUCCGU
Molecule: ribosomal RNA, 496 nt
Filed under: uncultured bacterium
Lineage: Bacteria
Description: partial 16S ribosomal RNA
Rfam family: Bacterial small subunit ribosomal RNA
Source: RNAcentral